GUAACAAGGUCUCCGUUGGUGAACCAGCGGAGGGAUCAUUACAGAGUUGAAAAACUCCAACCCCUGUGAACCUACCUUUACUGUUGCUUCGGCGGACGAUGGCCCCAGGGCCGGACGCCGCCGGAGGUUACAAACCCUGAAUUUUUAGUGUAUCUCUGAGCACAAAAACAAAUAAUUAAAACUUUCAACAACGGAUCUCUUGGUUCUGGCAUCGAUGAAGAACGCAGCGAAAUGCGAUAAGUAAUGUGAAUUGCAGAAUUCAGUGAAUCAUCGAAUCUUUGAACGCACAUUGCGCCCGCCGGUAUUCCGGCGGGCAUGCCUGUCCGAGCGUCAUUUCACCACUCAAGCCCAGCUUGGUGUUGGGGCACCCGGCCGCCCGGCGGUCGGGGCCCCCAAGAACAUCGGCGGUCUCGCUGGGACCCUGAACGCAGUAACUCGCGGUAAAACGCGCUUCGUUCGGAGGCUUUUCCCGGCGGGCUCCAGCCGUUAAAACCCCCUAAAAUUCUUAGGUUGACCUCGGAUCAGGUAGGAAUACCCGCUGAACUUAAGCAUAUCAA
Molecule: ribosomal RNA, 557 nt
Filed under: Magnaporthaceae sp. DR10-3
Lineage: Eukaryota; Fungi; Ascomycota; Sordariomycetes; Magnaporthales; Magnaporthaceae
Description: eukaryotic LSU rRNA
Rfam family: 5.8S ribosomal RNA (bases 180-333)
Source: RNAcentral